GAUGAACGCUAGCUACAGGCUUAACACAUGCAAGUCGAGGGGAAACGGCAUUUUAGUGCUUGCACCGAAUGGACGUCGACCGGCGCACGGGUGAGUAACGCGUAUCCAACCUACCCAUUACUGUGGGAUAACCUGCCGAAAGGCAGACUAAUACCGCAUAGUCUUCGAUGACGGCAUCAGAUUUGAAGUAAAGAUUUAUCGGUAAUGGAUGGGGAUGCGUCUGAUUAGCUUGUUGGCGGGGUAACGGCCCACCAAGGCGACGAUCAGUAGGGGUUCUGAGAGGAAGGUCCCCCACAUUGGAACUGAGACACGGUCCAAACUCCUACGGGAGGCAGCAGUAAGGAAUAUUGGUCAAUGGACGAGAGUCUGAACCAGCCAAGUAGCGUGCAGGAUGACGGCCCUAUGGGUUGUAAACUGCUUUUGUAUGGGGAUAAAGUCAAUCACGUGUGAUUGUUUGCAGGUACCAUACGAAUAAGGACCGGCUAAUUCCGUGCCAGCAGCCGCGGUAAUACGGAAGGUCCGGGCGUUAUCCGGAUUUAUUGGGUUUAAAGGGAGCGUAGGCCGGAGAUUAAGUGUGUUGUGAAAUGUAGACGCUCAACGUCUGACUUGCAGCGCAUACUGGUUUCCUUGAGUACGCACAACGUUGGCGGAAUUCGUCGUGUAGCGGUGAAAUGCUUAGAUAUGACGAAGAACUCCGAUUGCGAAGGCAGCUGACGGGAGCGCAACUGACGCUUAAGCUCGAAGGUGCGGGUAUCGAACAGG
This 762-nucleotide ribosomal RNA is filed under the name Prevotella melaninogenica. Its description in RNAcentral is "bacterial SSU rRNA". It matches the Rfam family "Bacterial small subunit ribosomal RNA", at positions 28 to 776 of the family's 1533-position model. The record is from RNAcentral. Lineage: Bacteria; Pseudomonadati; Bacteroidota; Bacteroidia; Bacteroidales; Prevotellaceae.